AUGAGUUGCUUGAGUUGGAACUGUCGAGGGCUUGGGAACCCAUCGACAGUUCGAGAGCUUCGCUGUGUGGUGAAGCAGGAAGGGACCGCUCUCCUUUUUGUGAUGGAAACUAAAAUCUCAGCCAAAAGGAUGGAGAGCAUGAAGACUUUGUUUGGUUUUUCAGGAUGUUAUGCCGUGGACAGUACGGGCCUUAGUGGCGGUAUUGGUCUGUUCUGGACGGAUGUGGUGGAAGUGGAGCUGAAAAAUUAUAGUUCUUGCCACAUCGACGUUCUAGUGAGGAAGAAGACCCAAGGCUCAAAGGAGUGGAGGGUUACCGGUUUUUAUGGAGCCCCGAAAGUGGAAGACCGGCCACAUAGUUGGAGGUUCCUACGUACACUUCAUGCAAUCCAGCAUGAAGCGUGGUUGUGUGUUGGUGAUUUCAACGAGACACUUACUGCCUCCGAACACUUCUCGAGAGCGGCCCGACCUAAAUAUCAAAUGAGGGCGUUUAGAGAGGCAGUUGAUGAUUGCUCUUUUUAG
This 519-nucleotide ribosomal RNA is filed under the name Triticum aestivum (bread wheat). RNAcentral describes it as "partial small subunit ribosomal RNA". Lineage: Eukaryota; Viridiplantae; Streptophyta; Magnoliopsida; Poales; Poaceae. The record is from RNAcentral.